UACGUAGGGGGCUAGCGUUGUCCGGAAUCAUUGGGCGUAAAGCGCGUGUGGGCGGUCCGGUAAGUCCGCUGUGAAAGUCGGGGGCUCAACCCUCGAAAGCCGGUGGAAACUGUCGGGCUAGAGUACGGAAGAGGCGAGUGGAAUUCCUGGUGUAGCGGUGAAAUGCGCAGAUAUCAGGAGGAACACCAAUUGCGAAGGCAGCUCGCUGGGACGUUACUGACGCUGAGACGCGAAAGCGUGGGGAGCAAACGGG
RNAcentral lists this ribosomal RNA (253 nucleotides) under uncultured bacterium. RNAcentral's name for it is "partial 16S ribosomal RNA". It matches the Rfam family "Bacterial small subunit ribosomal RNA", at positions 524 to 776 of the family's 1533-position model. The record is from RNAcentral.